RNAcentral lists this long non-coding RNA (9234 nucleotides) under Lupinus angustifolius (narrow-leaved blue lupine). RNAcentral's name for it is "long non-coding RNA (LANG_LNC002508)". The record is from RNAcentral. Lineage: Eukaryota; Viridiplantae; Streptophyta; Magnoliopsida; Fabales; Fabaceae.
UGGCCUCCUGCUAAUACUCGAUGAAACCUAUCCCUGCAAUAGACUGGUCUUCCGUCGGCAGCCUCAGCGGCAGCUGCCGCUAGAUCGUCAUCAGAUAUCACGUCUGCAGGCAAUUGAAGCAACUCCUCCUUCCUACAAGGCACAUAAAAAAUUGCAAUUACCUGGUUGAAAUGAUUAGGAAGAUGGUGCAAGGAUCUUUAUGUCUUUCCUUACCUUAGGUUGAACUUUGUGUUAAUUUUUGGAGUUUGAGUGGUAGAUUUAUUUUCUUCUGUGGUAAAGGUGGUUCGAAAAAAGUUCUCCACGGGUGUAGCAAAGAUAAAUAGCAUAACUCCAGUAACAAGUAAUGCUCCUGUACCGACAAGAGUUUGCUUCAGAAGUUUAACGACUGGUUUGACCUGGAGACAUAGAAAUCAAGUUUAUCAUUUGCUCUUCUAGCCUGCAUUAAAAAAAAUCAGCAUGAUGAGUUGAUGCAAUGUUGUGUUAUUUCACAAUGCCCGGUACCUUGUAAGAGCCCAGCAAUCUAUCACGAGCUAGGAUCUGCAAAGAAAGCUAAGUUUUCAGUUUAUAGUGCCUGAAAUGAGAGAAAUGAAGCAUGUCACUUGUUCCUUUAGUAGUUACUGUUAGGAAAUUUUAGCUAUAUUUAUUCCAUAUCCUAUGUACAUCUAUCCUACCGAAUCUCACUAAGUGAGAGCCUCAUACAUUGAGCCGCCCUUAUUCCAUAUCCUACGUAUUCACUAAUUUUGAACAGACUGCUUAUUGCUUAAUGAAGUGGUAUCUUCUACAAUUUGAAAAGCAACAGUGGCUAACCUAUUAUUUGUUCACCUUUACCUCUAAAUUAAAUUUACUCCUUUUCUAUUUGUUUACUUUUAGUGAAUGAAAAAGGUGCAUGUAGAAGAGGCUAACCUCAGGUGGCUUGACCCACAUCUGUCCGUCAUACCAGCCACUUUCUUCAUAAGGAAUGACCGCCGAUAGAAGUCUAUCACCAACAUAACUCCACCCCUGCAUUGGAAUUCACUUAUCUUAACUGCACCAUGUAUUUAAGUGUAAAGGUGCAGACACAGCCACUUUAAUCAUCAGGUAUAUUUGGUUUGAAUAGUGAGCUAUGAAUAGAUUACAUUAAGUUGAAAAUUUAUUAUAUUGCACAUUGGCAACAACAUGCAUGGCUACAAAAGGGAGUUCCAACUGAGUUAAACUUGCAAAUCUUGACCUGCAAAUGCAAUUAUACAGUUUUGAACUUUUGAAUUCAUGAUGUCUUCUACUGGGACAAAUGUGUUUCUAAUUUUGUGUCUUACACAAUACUUUCUGGCCCCCAUAAAUGAAAUGAUUGUAGAACACAGAGAGGAUUACAACCCACCAGAUAAAUCCUCAAGACAAACAAAGAGACAAUGAAGAGUGUUCCUGUUCCAGCAGCUAGUGCAAAUCUUAGAGGCUCCUGCAAGGUAGUUAACAUUAACUCAGGAACAAGGAACUUUGAUGUGCCACUUUAUAAAUGUUUUAAUUCGUGUUUGUGUGCAGCUCGCAGAUACUAGUUAGUAUGCAUGCAUCAAAAUAUCUGGUCGAUUAACUGAUUAGAUGUCCCAUAUUCCCCAUAAUUAUAAAGGGCGGCCUAGUGCACAAGGCUCCCACCUAGUGGGGUUUGGGGAGAGUACAUUCGAACUGCUGCUGAAUCCACGGGCAGGGAAGAGACAACCUGGCGAACACGCAGCUUACCCUGUAAGCAAAGAUACUAUUUUCAGGAUUUGGACCCAUGACCUCGUGGUCACUAAGCAACAACCUUAUUGUUGCACCGAGCUCACCCUCUAGAUUCCCCAUGAUUAUAUGCACAUAUUUUUUUUUACUUCUUUCUUACUCUAGAAGGAUUAAAGCUUGCAGCUGCAAUUGGCACUCCAAGAACUAUGAACACCGACAACCAGAGGCCUCCAAGGCGAAGGAAGAAAGACCCAGGACCCAGUUCACCCCAUGAAUACAAUAUUCCAUCCUUCAGAGAUGAGUACUCAUUCACCUGUUACACAGUGAGAGUGUUGGUGCCAGCAUAAAUAUUUAGAGAAAAAGAAUUCAUACACUAAUAUUAACUACAACAUGCAGUAUCUUUUGAUUUCAAAGGUCAAACAAAGAAAACAAUUAUUGCUAUAACUGCAUAAUUGUUCAUACAUACCGGUCUCUGCUCAAAAGGGACUUCGAUUUCCAACCCAGGAUCCCAGCUACGUCCUGAAGACCCACUUGUUUCUCCAUCCAUUUCAUCUUUUAUGGCCUUGGCCUUGAUGGAAAUCCCAUGAGAAAAUCUUGAAGCUCUUCGUUUAUGGAUGAUCAAUGAAUCAUAGCUGCUGAGUGGUCUAGCUUGAUUUGCACUUGGAAUCAGAGAGCAGUAGACAUUUAAUCUCAGCAUUUAGUUGUUUAGUUUAAGCUACAGAAUUGUGUUUUUGUUUUAAAUCCUAGUUCAAUUCUUUGGUUGGAAAAGGAGAUUGGAGAUAUUAAAGCUCACUGAUAAAUAGCAAUGGAUUUUUUUUUUAUUGCAUGAGGGUAAGAUAGUUUGUUUUGUGACUUAGAGGUCAAUAAAUUUAAAUCAUGUAAAUAGACCUUUCACUUACGAAAAUAAUGUUGUAUAUAUCUACUCUUCCCGAUUUGCGUCACAGAAAACCUAUUAUAUUUAGGUGGAGGAGAACUAUCGGUAAUAACAAUUGUGGAUUUUUCCACGUGGGCUUCUGAGUACCGUUCAUGUGAUGCGGUUACGGUCCUUAGGAAUCAGAUUAUCCGAACCAAAUGUAUUUUCUACUUAGAUAUUUUUGUGGUUUGAGAAAGGCGUGGGGAACUGAUGGUUAAGCAACGUGGCUGUUGUUCACUUGCACGCAAAUUUCUACUAUGUUCCUGUUGCCUGCACGCAGUAGCAACGGGCACGAUCAAUUAGCAAAGCAACAAAAUUCCUAUUUUCAACCUCUUUUUGUGUGGCUGAGGAAUCCACUUUCAAAUAUAGCUAGUUCUGUAAUGAAUCUUAAUCUCUCUGUUAUUGCUUUGCUUCACAAGUCACAAUUGGAUUGAUACAUUGUACAGCCCUAUUAGGCUCGUACUUGCUAACCUGGCAAACUGGUCAGUCAUUUAGGAUAUUCAUAGUCAGAGUCUAAAAGGUUAGAAAAAAUAAAUAAAAUGAAAAGCUGUGGUUUUUCAAUUUUCUAAAAAUUAUUGUAAUACUUUAAAAAACACUGAUCUUAGGUUGAUUUUGGUGUAUAUCAUAUUAAUGUAACAUCAAAAGAAACUAAAUGACCACUUUAGUUCUUAUAUUUGUGCUUACUAACUCGGGUUAGUACCUCCAUCUACCUCCGUUUGAGUUAAUUGACAUGGACAUGUGAUCCGUUAAGUGUGUAAAUGACAUUUCCACGUGAAGAGUGAACAGAAUUAAAAAAAAACGGAUCCUUCUCUUUCCACAAAUACAUCUAUCUGGGAUUGGAGUAUUGUUUUAUGAAGUUGCCGUCAGUUUUAAUUAACAAUAAUCAUUUCAUGACAGAAAAGGGGAAACCAUAAUCAUUUCAUGACCCAGGGUCUGUAAUCACGUUUAUGAUCAGUGUUCUUAAGCUUUUAAUAAAAACUCGGUGCAUUUUGAUUUUGUUGAAUUUAUGAACCUCUUAUUUUCGACAUGAAAUUAAAAUCACGAGGAACUAUCAUGUUUCAGGCAUUAAUAUCCUUGGCUAUGAGGUAGGACAGGGACAUGCUUCUCAUUAUGAUAAAUUCAAUUCUGCUGAAUAUUUGCCCACAAAAAAACCAAAGAGUACGUAUGAAGUAAAACUCUUACAUUCUAAUUUCGCAAGUUGUUUUAGAGAUGGAAUUUGUGGUUAGUUUUGAGGAUAGGGUUCAUACUAGCACCCACACUGACAGCGUGUUGCUUGUCAUUUUGCAAGAAGUUUGAUAUCCAUCUAAGGUUGCUUGACUUGAUAAGGUUUGUGUAUAAGACGUGAGAUUUUUUAUGGAGACAUCCCUCUGUCUUUUUCUUCUUCCUCGUAAUAACAUCAUUGUCCCAUGUUGCAGAGAUUGACAAUCCCUUGCAGUACUGUAGAUGCAUAUGAUGCUUGGAUAAAAAUAUGUUUAAAAUACUAUAUCUGUCAAUAUAUUUAUUUAUUCAACUUGAAUUGCUUACACUAAUGUCAAACUCAUAUUUUACACAUCAGUUUUGGUUAAUCAGCCAGAUGACUUCAUUCAUAGUGUAUUUAAGCAAUGUUCCAGAAGGUAGAGAGACCGUGUUUCUAUUUUGAGGUAAAAACUAAAAACCAAGUUUGUCACUGCAUCUUGAUUCUCAUACUUCCCGUUUUCUGGUAAAGGUAGUCAGUGCAUUAUUAAUAUUCUGCAGAAUGGCUAUGAUUUUGAGUACUGUAUUGGUUUAAGGGUAAAGGCCACCCAGGGGGGUGGACUUCUAUUCAUUUGUUGUUCCCUAAUGGUACAAUUUUUCUAACCUGCCAACGCAACAUUCCUAUCCAAACUCAAAAACUUAGAUGGAUGUCAAAUUUUUAAGUGAAUGCCCCAUCCAAACAAUGCUUCCAAUGUUUUCAUAAAACUCUCUUUGGUCAUAGCUAAUUAGCAACUUAACAUUUUACCGUCAGUCACGUGUUACAGUAUACUAGGAAACAAGGUUAGGAAUACCCUAUAAACCCAACUCGUAACACAUCACUAAGCCUAAUAAUCUAAGAUGACUAAAAUGGUCAGAUUUUAUUUUUCACCUUCUGAUAUUUAGGUGCACUUUUGGAGAAAUUGACGCUUGUCACCAAAUAAGAUUGUGGUAGCAGCUUUGGAAGUUUGUGCGGCUGGUUGUACCUCCAUAAGCACCCAAGCAGCUGCAUACGCAAGCUACAAUAUAUAAACAGAAUUAGAAACCAGCUAGUACUGCAAGGCUUUUUAUGGCUACACAAAUUAGAAGAAAAAUUGGUCUAGAACUCAGAACGAAUUAAAUUGAAGCUUCCUUUGUUCAGCACUCACUAGAAGUUCAGUGUUGCAUUUUCUGAAAUUUAUUUCCUCUGGUCUGCAUUGGCAUCAUUCAAGUUAUUCAUCUCUUAACUCCUCAUUGCUGUCAACCAAAGAGACCUACAUCCACUGCUAACAAAGCCAGCCAAAGGGGUAUGCAUUCACUGUUUAUGCCAGUUGUGAUAUGGUUGCUUCCCCCAUUUCUUCAGACUAUGCAUGCAACCAGCUGCUAGCAAUAAACCAAGCACAGCAAAUGCCAUUAAUGUUGCAUUACUAACAUUCCGGUAAUAGCCACCCUGCAACAACAUUUAGGAAGUUAAUAUGUUUACAACAGCACACAAACCAACUAAACCAAAAGAAACACACAACUAAAAAAAUUGAAAAUUAUUUUUAGACAGAAGUUAAAGCGUCUAGUAUAUAAAAUUGCAAAAAAAACAUGCAAAAUUAUAUUGCAUAUUAUAUUCCUAGAAUUUAACCCUUCCCUUAGAGUCACAUGAGCCAGCGAUGUCACCCUAUAUAGCUAACCAACUAUAGGGACAAGUUGAGGUCAUCAACAAGUUAUCACAUAAUCAAAAAGUUGGUCUAUUUUCAAAGUGCCAGCCAGCUUGAAUGAUCAUUUCAUAGACGAAAGUCAUGUUUGAGACUAGCUGGAAGGCCCAAUAAGAGUAAAACCAGCACUUGUUUCUGCUGCUUUAAGAAAGACCGUGGAGGGAUAGGAAGAAACAAGAGCAGGGCCACUCUUGAAUAUCAACUUCUCAUGCCACCCUCCACGAUUAUGGCAUUCUAACUUAAAACCUCAAAAUAUUUAUCUUUCAUCUAGGGUGAACCUCGACGUAAUGGCAAAGUUGUUGCUUAAUAACCAAGAAGUCACGAGUUCAAAUCCUCGAAAACAACUUCUCUGCUUGUGGCCACAGGAGUAAGGAUACGUAUAUCUACUCUCCUCACACCCCACUAGGUGGGAACCUCGUGCACUGGGCAUCCCUUUUAUGGUUCAGAUCAACUCAUGUUAAUAUUGUUUAACUGGUUAGUUGGUUAAUUAUAUGCUUCCUACAAUUUCAGAUAACUUAAUGAACAAAUACACACUUGCACCACAGAAAGCAGAACUGCUGCAUUUGCCGGGGCCAAAGAAAGCCCCAUCAUCCCUCCACGCAACUCAUUAGGCACAUACCUGCAGACAAUGUAAUUAGAACUAUCAAAUCAUUUGUUAAGAAAAUGAACAACUACAAAUCCUGUUAAUGAGUUUACAUGGUCCUCAAUCUGGCAAGUGAUGGUAUAAUGAACCCGACACAAGCAUGAAACAAGCAAAAUAGUGUCACCAGAACUCCAAUUUCCUGUAUGUGAUAAAUUAUCAAAGCAGACUCUAGGUUUCAAGCUUGAUAAUAUGACAAAGUAUAUUUCACUAUUUGAGACUUUUUAAAGAUGAAAGAUAAGUGAACCUGAUAGUCAUAGGCCACAAUAGAGAGGAGAAGAGCUAGUAUGAUGUAUGCAUAUACUAGGCAAUCCUCUGUUCUAAAUGAUGAUGGCCCACUUGUAAGACAAGGAAAUGCAGUGCUUCCAAGCAUCCUUGAGCCCAGAAAGCAAGGAUAUAUCAAUCCUAAUUGCACUUCUCGACCAUCAGCCUACAACCACAUGCAUCAAAAAUACAUGUUAGCAUUUUAAGUAUAUUAUUCAAUUAAGACCAUUUCAAGAAUCACCAAUACAGAUAAGUCUGAAGAAGAAAAGAAAGCCGAUAAAAUAUUCAUUGAUCCUAUACGAUUAUAGUGUUUUAAGUAUUCUCCACAUACAUUAAUAUCUCAGCAUAUCAUAAGAUGUGCUCUAGAAUUUCGAUAUCAUACCACCACUGUAGGUGCCCAGAGGAUCCAAAAAAUUCCAAUGGAGAAGUGAAGGCAAGUUUGUGCCCAUGCCAACAGCCAUAUCCUUUUAUCUGUGGAUUAUAGAAUUAUCAUCAGUAUGUUGCUCUCGAUGAACUUUUCACUACAUUGAUUGAUAAUUGAAAAAUGCCUAUAGUAGAUUCCACCAACUCCUUUCCAUGUGUAUGUCGAAGAAACUAUCAAACCAUGUCAGUCUGAACAUAGAAAAGGAGUUUAGAAUGCAUGCAUUCAUAGAUCAGGCAUAUUACAGCUUGAGAGUGAAACUGAAAAAACAAACUGAAGGCAUGGCAAACUAUAAUUAAUAGAUUACUAGGAUACCAAGUUAUUAAUCAUCAGAAACUUAGAAAUUGUGAAAAAAAUAUCAAUACUAGCUUGAUAUAUGCAAUCAUGAAUUCAGAGAUAUCUUUUCAUUCUGUCAAUGAAGUCAGAUACAAAGUCCAAAUUUGAUUCAAAUGAACCUCUAAUGUGUAUUUCCACUCUUAUUAAAUUGUCAGUAGAUUCUUAUCGCAGUUUAUCUUGCAACUAGUAAGGCGAGAUAUAUUGACAACUGUGGAUUGUUUGAUUGGAAUGAAAUUUGGAAUGGGUAUGCUUGACGAUAUGAAUUAUGUGAAAAAUAAACGGAUUCGUUCACCAGAAGCCACUCUGAGUUUUGUUUAUUUGGUUACAACAAAUUCAACUUUUGAUCAACCCAUAACUUAUGCAAUCAGAGCUGAGCAAAUUCAAUUUACCGGAAUAAUCUGAGCUGAAUACAUUUAUGCAAUCUACUUACUUGCUACCAUAUCUGUAUCUAUUUAAGCCUGUUUUCUUGUUCUCAUUUUUUUAUCUCAGUCUUCAAUUAGGUAACCAUGUUGUCUUUCCCCCUGAAUAUAUAUAUAUAUAUGCUACUAGUAUAUGACGUCUAGUACCAUAUGAUAACUAGUAUAUUUGCUUUUGCUGUGAAACCCUUAGAUGUUCUUUUAACUAAUAGGAUAAAUUUUUUGGCCAGAGUCACUACAAAUCAUGAACUGCUUUAACUAAAUUAAAUUCAUUACACAUGCCUCUUUUGUCCUUUACUCGAGCAGAUCUUCCCAUUUGCAGUACUGGCCUCCUGCUAAUACUCGAUGAAACCUAUCCCUGCAAUAGACUGGUCUUCCGUCGGCAGCCUCAGCGGCAGCUGCCGCUAGAUCGUCAUCAGAUAUCACGUCUGCAGGCAAUUGAAGCAACUCCUCCUUCCUACAAGGCACAUAAAAAAUUGCAAUUACCUGGUUGAAAUGAUUAGGAAGAUGGUGCAAGGAUCUUUAUGUCUUUCCUUACCUUAGGUUGAACUUUGUGUUAAUUUUUGGAGUUUGAGUGGUAGAUUUAUUUUCUUCUGUGGUAAAGGUGGUUCGAAAAAAGUUCUCCACGGGUGUAGCAAAGAUAAAUAGCAUAACUCCAGUAACAAGUAAUGCUCCUGUACCGACAAGAGUUUGCUUCAGAAGUUUAACGACUGGUUUGACCUGGAGACAUAGAAAUCAAGUUUAUCAUUUGCUCUUCUAGCCUGCAUUAAAAAAAAUCAGCAUGAUGAGUUGAUGCAAUGUUGUGUUAUUUCACAAUGCCCGGUACCUUGUAAGAGCCCAGCAAUCUAUCACGAGCUAGGAUCUGCAAAGAAAGCUAAGUUUUCAGUUUAUAGUGCCUGAAAUGAGAGAAAUGAAGCAUGUCACUUGUUCCUUUAGUAGUUACUGUUAGGAAAUUUUAGCUAUAUUUAUUCCAUAUCCUAUGUACAUCUAUCCUACCGAAUCUCACUAAGUGAGAGCCUCAUACAUUGAGCCGCCCUUAUUCCAUAUCCUACGUAUUCACUAAUUUUGAACAGACUGCUUAUUGCUUAAUGAAGUGGUAUCUUCUACAAUUUGAAAAGCAACAGUGGCUAACCUAUUAUUUGUUCACCUUUACCUCUAAAUUAAAUUUACUCCUUUUCUAUUUGUUUACUUUUAGUGAAUGAAAAAGGUGCAUGUAGAAGAGGCUAACCUCAGGUGGCUUGACCCACAUCUGUCCGUCAUACCAGCCACUUUCUUCAUAAGGAAUGACCGCCGAUAGAAGUCUAUCACCAACAUAACUCCACCCCUGCAUUGGAAUUCACUUAUCUUAACUGCACCAUGUAUUUAAGUGUAAAGGUGCAGACACAGCCACUUUAAUCAUCAGGUAUAUUUGGUUUGAAUAGUGAGCUAUGAAUAGAUUACAUUAAGUUGAAAAUUUAUUAUAUUGCACAUUGGCAACAACAUGCAUGGCUACAAAAGGGAGUUCCAACUGAGUUAAACUUGCAAAUCUUGACCUGCAAAUGCAAUUAUACAGUUUUGAACUUUUGAAUUCAUGAUGUCUUCUACUGGGACAAAUGUGUUUCUAAUUUUGUGUCUUACACAAUACUUUCUGGCCCCCAUAAAUGAAAUGAUUGUAGAACACAGAG